UCCAUCCCAGCGGAGUGGUUAACGCGUUACCCUGCUAAGGUAAUCUCUUCGGAGGCGUGUGUUCGAAUCACACAGGUGUCGAA
This 83-nucleotide transfer RNA is filed under the name Cladosporium sphaerospermum UM 843. Its description in RNAcentral is "tRNA-Ser (GCT) (tRNA-Ser-GCT-2-1)". The stretch from base 9 to 73 matches the Rfam family "tRNA", at positions 9 to 63 of the family's 71-position model. Rfam says of the family: Transfer RNA (tRNA) molecules are approximately 80 nucleotides in length. Their secondary structure includes four short double-helical elements and three loops (D, anti-codon, and T loops). Further hydrogen bonds mediate the characteristic L-shaped molecular structure. tRNAs have two regions of fundamental functional importance: the anti-codon, which is responsible for specific mRNA codon recognition, and the 3' end, to which the tRNAs corresponding amino acid is attached (by aminoacyl-tRNA synthetases). tRNAs cope with the degeneracy of the genetic code in two manners: having more than one tRNA (with a specific anti-codon) for a particular amino acid; and 'wobble' base-pairing, i.e. permitting non-standard base-pairing at the 3rd anti-codon position. The record is from RNAcentral. Lineage: Eukaryota; Fungi; Ascomycota; Dothideomycetes; Cladosporiales; Cladosporiaceae.